This is a long non-coding RNA of Quercus robur (English oak), 819 nucleotides long. RefSeq lists it as uncharacterized. The record is from RefSeq and is a predicted model, not a curated record. NCBI's taxonomy places the organism in Eukaryota, Viridiplantae, Streptophyta, Magnoliopsida, Fagales, Fagaceae. The transcript has 2 exons.
AAAAAAAAUCAUGAUUGUCUUAUGAGAGACCAUUUCUUCCAAGCAGUUGAUUAUAACUGUUGUAAUAAUUGCUUUUCUUGCUUUUUCUAAUUAACCUAGGGGGCGUAAUCCAUCCAACGCCUUAUGGAGGUAAUUCAACUAAGGUGGAGAAUGAGACCCAAUUAGGGCGUGUGUAAUUACCAAUAAAGGAAGUUCAGGUCUGUACUUGUUUGGCAAUGCUAUUGAGGCUGAGGCUAUAUCCAUAGCUUAAGAUGUUUUUGUCUAAUGGAAAGCAGCGUGGGGAAGGUACUCGCUUUUGAUAAUCUCAUUAAGAGAGGAUAGAUGCUAGUAGGUUGGUGGUGUAUUUGCUGCUGUAGUGGGGAGAUGGUGGAGCAUUUUUUAUUACAUGUUAGUGUUCUGUUCAAGAUGUGGAGCUUCAUUUUUUGAUCUUUUGGGUUUCAUUGGGUGCUCUCGGCAAAGGUAAUUGAUCUUUUGUUUAGUUGGUUAAAUUGAGUAGGCAAGCAUUCUUCAGAUAUUUGGAACAUUGUUCCAGUUCCAUUAUGUUUGAUGUGGGCCUUGUUGCAUGAAUGAAAUCCUUGUACAUUUGAGGAUAUGGAAAAUUCAGGGAUACAAUUGAUUGCAUUUUUUAAUAGUUGUUUGAUUGCUGUAACCCAUUGAUAAUUUGCAUACCAAUGCCACAGUGCCUUUGCAAUGAAUGAAUUAGAGUAGAUGCAAGGCAAUGCGCCAGUGUUUUGAUUAGUACUUAGCUUCAGUUUGUUUCUUCCAACUUUCUGUCAUUAUUUCUCCAAUAGUUUUAUUAUUAAAAUAAUAUUUAGCUCA